GUGUACCCGCGGCAAGACGGAAAGACCCCGUGAACCUUUACUAUAGCUUGACACUGAACAUUGAGCCUUGAUGUGUAGGAUAGGUGGGAGGCUUUGAAGUGUGGACGCCAGUCUGCAUGGAGCCGACCUUGAAAUACCACCCUUUAAUGUUUGAUGUUCUAACGUUGGCCCGUAAUCCGGGUUGCGGACAGUGUCUGGUGGGUAGUUUGACUGGGGCGGUCUCCUCCUAAAGAGUAACGGAGGAGCACGAAGGUUGGCUAAUCCUGGUCGGACAUCAGGAGGUUAGUGCAAUGGCAUAAGCCAGCUUGACUGCGAGCGUGACGGCGCGAGCAGGUGCGAAAGCAGGUCAUAGUGAUCCGGUGGUUCUGAAUGGAAGGGCCAUCGCUCAACGGAUAAAAGGUACUCCGGGGAUAACAGGCUGAUACCGCCCAAGAGUUCAUAUCGACGGCGGUGUUUGGCACCUCGAUGUCGGCUCAUCACAUCCUGGGGCUGAAGUAGGUCCCAAGGGUAUGGCUGUUCGCCAUUUAAAGUGGUACGCGAGCUGGGUUUAGAACGUCGUGAGACAGUUCGGUCCCUAUCUGCCGUGGGCGCUGGAGAAUUGAGGGGGGCUGCUCCUAGUACGAGAGGACCGGAGUGGACGCAUCACUGGUGUUCGGGUUGUCAUGCCAAUGGCACUGCCCGGUAGCUAAAUGCGGAAGAGAUAAGUGCUGAAAGCAUCUAAGCACGAAACUUGCCCCGAGAUGAGUUCUCCCUGAGACUUUAAGUCUCCUGAAGGAACGUUAAAGACGAUGACGUUGAUAGGCCGGGUGUGUAAGCGCAGCGAUGCGUUGAGCUAACCGGUACUAAUGAACCGUGAGGCUUAACCUU
Molecule: ribosomal RNA, 867 nt
Filed under: Streptococcus mitis
Lineage: Bacteria; Bacillati; Bacillota; Bacilli; Lactobacillales; Streptococcaceae
Description: partial 23S ribosomal RNA
Rfam family: Bacterial large subunit ribosomal RNA
Source: RNAcentral